AUUGAACGCUGGCGGCAUGCUUUACACAUGCAAGUCGAACGGUAACAGGCCUUCGGGUGCUGACGAGUGGCGAACGGGCGAGUAAUGCAUCGGAACGUACCCAGAGGUGGGGGAUAACGCAGCGAAAGCUGUGCUAAUACCGCAUGUGAUCUGAGGAUGAAAGCGGGGGACCGAGCAGCAAUGUUUGGCCUCGCGCCUUUGGAGCGGCCGAUGUCGGAUUAGCUAGUUGGUGGGGUAAAGGCCUACCAAGUCGACGAUCCGUAGCUGGUCUGAGAGGACGGCAAGCCGCACUGGGAGUGGGACACGGCCCAGGGUCCUACGGGAGGCAGCAGUGGGGAAUUUUAGACAAUGGGCGCAAGCAUGAUCCAGCAGUGCCGCGUGCGGGAAGAAGGCCUUCGGGUUGUAAACCGCUUUUGGCAGGAACGAAACGGUGUCCGCUAAUACCGGGCGCUAAUGACGGUACCUGCAGAAUAAGCACCGGCUAACUACGUG
This 492-nucleotide ribosomal RNA is filed under the name uncultured bacterium. RNAcentral describes it as "partial 16S ribosomal RNA". It matches the Rfam family "Bacterial small subunit ribosomal RNA", at positions 29 to 507 of the family's 1533-position model. The record is from RNAcentral.